UGGAGAGUUUGAUCCUGGCUCAGAUUGAACGCUGGCGGCAGGCCUAACACAUGCAAGUCGAGCGGCAGCGGGAAAGUAGCUUGCUACUUUUGCCGGCGAGCGGCGGACGGGUGAGUAAUGCCUGGGGAUCUGCCCAGUCGAGGGGGAUAACAGUUGGAAACGACUGCUAAUACCGCAUACGCCCUACGGGGGAAAGGAGGGGACCUUCGGGCCUUUCGCGAUUGGAUGAACCCAGGUGGGAUUAGCUAGUUGGUGGGGUAAUGGCUCACCAAGGCGACGAUCCCUAGCUGGUCUGAGAGGAUGAUCAGCCACACUGGAACUGAGACACGGUCCAGACUCCUACGGGAGGCAGCAGUGGGGAAUAUUGCACAAUGGGGGAAACCCUGAUGCAGCCAUGCCGCGUGUGUGAAGAAGGCCUUCGGGUUGUAAAGCACUUUCAGCGAGGAGGAAAGGUUGGCGCCUAAUACGUGUCAACUGUGACGUUACUCGCAGAAGAAGCACCGGCUAACUCCGUGCCAGCAGCCGCGGUA
This 530-nucleotide ribosomal RNA is filed under the name Aeromonas salmonicida. Its description in RNAcentral is "bacterial SSU rRNA". It matches the Rfam family "Bacterial small subunit ribosomal RNA", at positions 1 to 522 of the family's 1533-position model. The record is from RNAcentral. Lineage: Bacteria; Pseudomonadati; Pseudomonadota; Gammaproteobacteria; Aeromonadales; Aeromonadaceae.